CUUUUUCUAGCCCCUCCCAGUCGGCCUCCUCUGCAGGCUCCCCACUCACCCCGGUAGCAUGGCAGGCAGUAGAUGCAGAGGAGAAGCAGCAGGACGAGCAGUGCUAUACCCAAUAGGGAGCCCAGGACAAUGCCAGCAAUGGCACCGGGGCCCAAGGUGGGGCCUGGAAGAGACAAACAGAAGGAAGAGAAGUUUCCAAACCCCUAAUUCACCCUUCCUGUGAGGAUCCCGUGCACUGUCCCUCUCAGAACACAGAACUUGGGGCUGAGCACUCUCAAUUCAUUUAAUGUUUUCUGAAUGACGGACUACCCAGUGCCUGGCAAUUCGGCCUCGUGGUGAGGAUCCACUGGUUACCAGAGGGGGAAGACAAGCCACUGCAACAGAUUGAGAAUGGCUGGCCAGAGUUCUAAGAGGAAGUCCAGGAGAAGAUGUCCACGGCCCGACUCACCUGCCUGGUCCACAUUCAGGCUGAAGUUGCUGAUGAGAAGCUUCUGCCCAUCUUGGCUGAUUCGCAGGCGACCCCCGCCUCCUGGAGCCAGGGGCCUUCCUUCCCGGGCCCAGGAUGCUCGAGAGGGUGGGAGACAGCCAGAAGCCUCCAGAGCCACCUCUGCCUCCCCUGACCUUGUCUCUCGCACCAGCUGAUGUAGCAGCACCUCCCUGGGGGCCUCUGUAGGUGACAGAAGCCCAGUUAAAAGUCAAGACCUGCCUAGUGUGGUAAGGCCCACCUGUAAUCCCAGCAACUCAGGAGGCUGAGGCAAGAGGAUCACAAGUUCCACACCAGCCUGGGCAACUUAGAGAGACCCUGUCUCAAAAUAAAAAAUAAAAAGGGCUGGGGAUGCAGCUCAGUGGUAUAACCACCCAGGGUUCAAUCCCUAGUAUUGGGAGAAAAAAAAAAAAGGCAAGACCAUAUUCUCCACUGGAAUAAUAAGUCCUAUGUCCUUCGAUAAAUCAAAUAGUGGUGAACCCAGCACUGUGGGGGAACUGCCCAUUCACUCUCACAUUCAUUCAUUCACUGAUAUCCUCAGCAAACACUUAACUGAAUAUAUGUUAUACAUGGGCAAGGGCUGGGAAGCCCAUUAUGCUCAGCUAUUCAUUACUUUGAAAAAAUGAAAAUAAAA
Molecule: long non-coding RNA, 1118 nt
Filed under: Ictidomys tridecemlineatus (thirteen-lined ground squirrel)
Lineage: Eukaryota; Metazoa; Chordata; Mammalia; Rodentia; Sciuridae
Description: lncRNA (ENSSTOG00000029676.1)
Source: RNAcentral